This 465-nucleotide ribosomal RNA is filed under the name uncultured marine eukaryote. RNAcentral's name for it is "SSU rRNA". It matches the Rfam family "Eukaryotic small subunit ribosomal RNA", at positions 1 to 471 of the family's 1831-position model. The record is from RNAcentral.
AACCUGGUUGAUCCUGCCAGUAGUCAUAUGCUUGUCUCAAAGACUAAGCCAUGCAUGUCUAAGUAUAAGUAUUAUACAGCGAAACUGCGAAUGGCUCAUUAAACAGUUAUAAUUUAUUUGAUAAUCGAAUUUACAUGGAUAACCGUGGUAAUUCUAGAGCUAAUACAUGCUGGUAGGCCCGACUUUUUGGAAGGGCGGUAUUUAUUAGAUAACAAACCAAUAUUCCUCUGGUCUAUUGUGGUGAAUCAUAAUAACUGAUCGAAUCGCAAGGUUUUUAACCGCGAUAAGUCAUUCAAGUUUCUGCCCCAUCAGCUUUCGAUGGUAGUGUAUUGGACUACCAUGGCUUUUACGGGUAACGGAGGAUUAGGGUUCGAUUCCGGAGAGGGAGCCUGAGAAACGGCUACCACAUCUAAGGAAGGCAGCAGGCGCGUAAAUUACCCAAUCCUGACUCAGGGAGGUAGUGAC